Molecule: long non-coding RNA, 1353 nt
Organism: Pseudopipra pipra
Lineage: Eukaryota; Metazoa; Chordata; Aves; Passeriformes; Pipridae
Exons: 3
Source: RefSeq, a predicted model, not a curated record
CGUUCCGGCUGGAAUGUGGGGAGCUGGAGGAAGGACGAGGAGGGGAGGAAAGCCCUGGGAGAGGAGGAACGCUGUGAAUCACGGCAGGCUGAUGAGCACCUUGCCAGGGUGUUCCCGGGCAGGUAGGGGAUCAAGGCCGGGCCAUUCACAUGCAGAACAGCUUCCUCUCCAUGUGCAACAGCCCCGAAUCGCUGGAGUUCAGGAAGUCACCGAAUCAUGAACGGUUUGGGUGGGAGGGGACAUUUUAAGGUCACCUCGUUCCACCCCCUGCCACGGGCAGGGACACCUUCCACUAUCCCAGGUUGCUCCAACCUGGCCUUGGACACUUCCAGGGAUGGGGCAGCCCCAGCUUCUCUGGGAAUUCCAUCCCAGCUCCUCCCCAUUCUCACAGGGAAUCCACCUAAAUCUUUCCUCUUUUAGUUCAAAUCCCUUCCCCCCUUGUCCUGUCACUCCCUGCCCGGGUGAAUCUCACAAACCCCCUCCGAGCCCCGGCAUCACACACAGAUCAGCCCACGCUGAUGCCAACACCCAAAACCCGCUUCUCUGGGCAGCACUUGGAGCGCGGGGAAAACUCGGAGCGCCCCAAAUCCCUCCGGAACGUGCCGAGGGCUCGGAGCCCGCCCCGCUCGGGGUGUCGCAGAGCAGGGACAGGUUAACAACGCCCGGGAGCGGCUCCGGGAGCUCCGCUGGCACCCUGCGAUUACCGCCCGACCUUGGGGCUCGGCACAAGGACGGCCGGGGCCAGGAACCCCAUCGCCCGGGAGGGGGUGAGGAAAGAGCCCGAGGAGCAGCAGAGCCGAGCCGGGGCUGGGGCCAUGAUGCACAAAGGAGCUGGAUGAGUCUAUUGUUCGGUGUCCGAGCAACCCCCCGGGCUCCGCUCGGCUCUGCCCGGCGCAGGUCCGGGCUCUCCGGCUUUGUUUACUCGGUAAAACGAGCGGCUGGCUCCGAGCUGCGCCCGCUCACGGCCCCCUCGCCUUGAGCAAUCGGCAAACACCGCCCGGCUCUUCCAGGGGGGCAGGAGCCGGCUCGGAAGGAGGGCAGGACACGUCGUGUCUCCUCCGGGAUUUCUCGCCCUCCACAGCUCGAGUUCGCGGCGAGUUCAGGAGUCCUCCGCGCCGCGGUAAAGGCUCGGCUGUUUGGGACACUCUAAUCCCAAGUAUUGUUGGAAACACCUUAAACUGGGGCCUGAAGGGAAACCUGAACCUGGGAUCUCGUCACCUUGGCUCGUGGGAUGAGAUGGAAAACCAGCUGAGGAUGUUGGAAAGGGACAAAGCCAACACUCUGCUCCCCCUGACAACAAAAACGUUACUUUUAAUCCCAAUCCUGGCGAAUAAAUGCCUGAGACACCCCGGC